AGGUGCGAUCAUACCAGCACUAAUGCACCGGAUCCCAUCAGAACUCCGCAGUUAAGCGGCUUGGGCGAGAGUAGUACUAGGAUGGGUGACCUCCUGGGAAGUCCUUGUGUUGCACCUCUUUUUGCCAAAAUUUCUUGUUCUUUUUGUUAAUUAGCGUAAUUUUACGUCGUUUUUGAAAAAUAAACUUCAAUUGUAUUUCAUUUUUUCCGUUAAUUUACGCAACCUAAAACUCUAUUCGUUAAUUAGCGUAGUUUGACGUCUUUUUUGAAAAAUAAACUUAGAAAUGCAUAUAUACAAUUACAACGCUUUACUCUCAGGUGCGAUCAUACCAGCACUAAUGCACCGGAUCCCAUCAGAACUCCGCAGUUAAGCGGCUUGGGCGAGAGUAGUACUAGGAUGGGUGACCUCCUGGGAAGUCCUUGUGUUGCACCUCUUUUUGCCAAAAUUUCUUGUUCUUUUUGUUAAUUAGCGUAAUUUUACGUCGUUUUUGAAAAAUAAACUUCAAUUGUAUUUCAUUUUUUCCGUUAAUUUACGCAACCUAAAACUCUAUUCGUUAAUUAGCGUAGUUUGACGUCUUUUUUGAAAAAUAAACUUAGAAAUGCAUAUAUACAAUUACAACGCUUUACUCUCAGGUGCGAUCAUACCAGCACUAAUGCACCGGAUCCCAUCAGAACUCCGCAGUUAAGCGUGCUUGGGCGAGAGUAGUACUAGGAUGGGUGACCUCCUGGGAAGUCCUUGUGUUGCACCUCUUUUUGCCAAAAUUUCUUGUUCUUUUUGUUAAUUAGCGUAAUUUUACGUCGUUUUUGAAAAAUAAACUUCAAUUGUAUUUCAUUUUUUCCGUUAAUUUACGCAACCUAAAACUCUAUUCGUUAAUUAGCGUAGUUUGACGUCUUUUUUGAAAAAUAAACUUAGAAAUGCAUAUAUACAAUUACAACGCUUUACUCUCAGGUGCGAUCAUACCAGCACUAAUGCACCGGAUCCCAUCAGAACUCCGCAGUUAAGCGGCUUGGGCGAGAGUAGUACUAGGAUGGGUGACCUCCUGGGAAGUCCUUGUGUUGCACCUCU
RNAcentral lists this long non-coding RNA (1065 nucleotides) under Medicago truncatula (barrel medic). The record is from RNAcentral. Lineage: Eukaryota; Viridiplantae; Streptophyta; Magnoliopsida; Fabales; Fabaceae.